This 165-nucleotide ribosomal RNA is filed under the name Pleosporales sp. RNAcentral describes it as "partial large subunit ribosomal RNA". It matches the Rfam family "Eukaryotic large subunit ribosomal RNA", at positions 99 to 261 of the family's 3401-position model. The record is from RNAcentral. Lineage: Eukaryota; Fungi; Ascomycota; Dothideomycetes; Pleosporales.
CGGCAACAGCUCAAAUUUGAAAUCUGGCCCUUUCAGGGCCCGAGUUGUAAUUUGCAGAGGGUGCUUUGGCGUCGGCCGUGGUCUAAGUUCCUUGGAACAGGACGUCACAGAGGGUGAGAAUCCCGUACGUGGCCGCCGGUCUUCGCCGUGUAAAGCCCCUUCGAC